This 256-nucleotide ribosomal RNA is filed under the name uncultured bacterium. Its description in RNAcentral is "partial 16S ribosomal RNA". It matches the Rfam family "Bacterial small subunit ribosomal RNA", at positions 524 to 776 of the family's 1533-position model. The record is from RNAcentral.
UACGGAGGGUGCGAGCGUUGUCCGGAAUCACUGGGCGUAAAGGGCGCGUAGGCGGUGCGAGAAGCGUGUGGUGAAAGGCCGGGGCUCAACUCCGGCUCGGCCGUGCGGACUCUCGCGCUUUGUGAGUGCUGUAGAGGCGGGCGGAAUUCCGGGUGUAGCGGUGGAAUGCGUAGAGAUCCGGAAGAACACCGGUGGCGAAGGCGGCUUCUUGGGCCCUACCUGACGCUGAGGCGCGAAAGCCAGGGGAGCGAACGGG